UGCCAGACUCCUACGGGAGGCAGCAGUGGGGGAUAUUGGACAAUGGGGGAAACCCUGAUCCAGCGACGCCGCGUGAGUGAAGAAGUCUUUCGGUAUGUAAAGCCCUAUCAGCAGGGAAGAAAUAGCGACCUUUGGGUCGCCAGACGGUACCUGAUUAAGAAGCCCCGGCUAACUACGUGCCAGCAGCCGCGGUAAUACGUAGGGGGUAAGCGUUAUCCGGAUUUACUGGGUGUAAAGGGAGCGUAGACGGCAGCGCAAGUCUGAAGUGAAAUGCCGGGGCUUAACCCCGGAACUGCUUUGCAAACUGUAUGGGUGGAGUGCAGGAGAGGUAAGUGGAAUUCCUGGUGUAGCGGUGAAAUGCGUAGAUAUUAGGAGGAACACCAGUGGCGAAGGCGGCUUACUG
This 403-nucleotide ribosomal RNA is filed under the name uncultured bacterium. RNAcentral's name for it is "bacterial SSU rRNA". It matches the Rfam family "Bacterial small subunit ribosomal RNA", at positions 329 to 731 of the family's 1533-position model. The record is from RNAcentral.